GUCAGAAUGGCCGAGCGGUCUAAGGCGCCAGAUUUAAGCUCUGGUCCACUAUGUGGGCGUGGGUUCGAACCCCACUUCUGACA
Contarinia nasturtii (swede midge) is the source of this 83-nucleotide non-coding RNA. The record is from the annotation of a RefSeq genome assembly. Lineage: Eukaryota; Metazoa; Arthropoda; Insecta; Diptera; Cecidomyiidae.